RNAcentral lists this ribosomal RNA (454 nucleotides) under uncultured bacterium. RNAcentral's name for it is "bacterial SSU rRNA". It matches the Rfam family "Bacterial small subunit ribosomal RNA", at positions 28 to 490 of the family's 1533-position model. The record is from RNAcentral.
GAUGAACGCUGGCGGCGUGCUUAACACAUGCAAGUCGAACGAAGCACUUCAUAAAGUUUACUUUAAGAAGUGACUUAGUGGCGGACGGGUGAGUAACGCGUAGGUAACCUGCCUUACACAGGGGGAUAACAGUUAGAAAUGACUGCUAAUACCGCAUAAAACAGCAGAGUCGCAUGACUCAACUGUCAAAGAUUUAUCGGUGUAAGAUGGACCCGCGUCUGAUUAGCUGGUUGGUGGGGUAACGGCCUACCAAGGCGACGAUCAGUAGCCGGCCUGAGAGGGUGAACGGCCACAUUGGGACUGAGACACGGCCCAAACUCCUACGGGAGGCAGCAGUGGGGAAUAUUGGACAAUGGGCGAAAGCCUGAUCCAGCGACGCCGCGUGAGCGAUGAAGUAUUUCGGUAUGUAAAGCUCUAUCAGCAGGGAAGAAAACGACGGUACCUGACUAAGAAG